GCUCAUACCUAGCAGGGGAGACACCAUGAUCAGGAAGGUGAUUUUCCCAGGGUGAGGCUUGUCCAUUGCACUUAGGAUGUGCUGACCCCUGCAAUUUCCCCAAAUUUGGGAAACCCAACUGCAUAAUUUGUGGCAGUGGGGGACUGUGUUCUUGUUCUCCCCUU
Molecule: small nuclear RNA, 164 nt
Organism: Nannospalax galili (Upper Galilee mountains blind mole rat)
Lineage: Eukaryota; Metazoa; Chordata; Mammalia; Rodentia; Spalacidae
Gene: U1
Rfam family: U1 spliceosomal RNA
About the family: U1 is a small nuclear RNA (snRNA) component of the spliceosome (involved in pre-mRNA splicing).
Source: Ensembl